UUUCGUCGUUGGCGGCCUCUUGAGAAAACUUAUCUGAAGCUGCUGUACAAGCCUAAGAAAAGACAAUUGUCAUAAAUUAAUACUUUCGCAGGCCGAAUCUGGAUUAAAUACACACUUCGUAGGUGUUGAUGUACUAAUAUGAACUGGAUUGGAGGAGUACGCCGCAGGGUGUUUUCUAAGGCGGAGGAAAAACGCAGGCAAGAACAGUUUUUUGCCAAACAUGCUGCCGCUGCAAAGUUGCGUGGUCUUAAUAACAGCUAUUCAAGAAACACUAGAAAGGAUCAGGUGUUGGAUGUUUUUCAUCAUCAAGACAAAGACCUGUAAAAUUGGGAGGCUCCCAUCUGAGUGUGCGGAACCAUGAAAGAGAAGACAUAGUCUUUGCAAAGAUUAGGAGUGGAGAGUCAUGUAGUGUUAACAGUAAGG
Macrobrachium nipponense is the source of this 423-nucleotide long non-coding RNA. RefSeq lists it as uncharacterized. The transcript is spliced from 4 exons. The record is from RefSeq and is a predicted model, not a curated record. NCBI's taxonomy places the organism in Eukaryota, Metazoa, Arthropoda, Malacostraca, Decapoda, Palaemonidae.